UCCGCACUGUUUCGUUUCCACAGAAAUAUCGUCCGCUUCGAACCAGCUUGGUUGGGCUGUUGGGGGCAGCCAUGGGAUGCACGGAUUCGGUCUUCGGCAUUUGGGGCCGUCGAUUUCCAUUUGGGCUGGCGCCUUGCGAAUCUCACCGUCCGUUUGGUCUUCAUCGCAUCUCAUCUGUUCAUUCAUUGGUUCAACCAUCUUUCAUCCUCUGUCCAACGUUCGUCUAAAGAUUUUCGAUCUGCGAGUUCUUCCAUUGCUGAUGGGUUUCUGAGCAUACUGUUGAAUCCUCGAUUCCUUGCCCAAAUUGAUUCCAUAGUUUUUAUUCUUUGAGUUUAGCAUUGAUGCUGCGUUUUUGGUGGUGUAGGGUUAUGAGAGAGAAUUUUCAAAUCUUUGAUGACAACGACAAUGCAGAGAUAGUUGUUUUGUGAUUUUGAUUGUUUAGAGGGUGACUUUUGCAUAGGAAGUAUUGAAGGAUGUGUCGACUUGGGAGAGAAGAAUUAUAAGUGCAUUUACUGUGGUGCACUUUUUUGGUUAAAAGAAUCCAUUCAGCAGCAAGAAGAAGCGUGUAAGCAAGCAACUGCCCAAAUAUAUCUCUCUCUCUCUCUCUCUCGAUUUUGCAAGGAUCUCCUAAAUACUUGGAGAAGACUGAGAAUUCCACAAAGCAUCGCAACUCUAACGACACUUGGCUGCUCACUUUAAAGAACAGUUUGUGGGUAUGGAAGUACUCUCAUACAGUUCUGCACCAUGCUAUGAUACUUUUAAUUUAAGGUGGAAAUUGAUUGUGAAAAGCUCAAGUUCACAUCAAUUCAGUCUCCUAGGUUUUAGAAAAAACAGAGUUUUUGGUGCUAAAUUUGAUGUUAGAAAGAAGUUUUUGAGCUGUUACAAUUUAGAUCAGCCUUUCUUGAAGCAACUAAAUCACCAAGGAGGUUUUAGGUCAUUAGACACCGGUGAAAACUUCAAACAUGUUGGUCCAAUUUUAUCAAGUGGAAGCUCUGAUGGCUACGUAAUUAAAAGGGAAGAGAAUGAAAGUAUUUCAGAAACAGGGGAACCAGUAACUAAAGUUUUGAUUCCUGGUCUACCAGAUGAAUCCAAAGGUGAAUCAGGUGCGCCAGUAAAUAGUUGCUUUUGGGAAUGGAAGCCCGAAUUCAGUGUGCAUUAUGAGAAAGCUGGAUGUGAAACCUUAGGCUCCCUUCCAGUGCUGUUUCUGCCUGGUUUUGGGGUUGGUUCCUUUCACUAUGAGAAGCAACUGAAGGAGUUGGGGCUUGAUUUUAGAGUACGGGCUAAGCAGCUGAAUGGAUGGUGUGUAUAUCUAUAUUUGGAUGGUAUGUACUUGGAUUCAUUGAAACAAUUGAGAUUGAGUGCUUAUAUCUUAGCAGCUGACUUUGAGCCUUAAAAUUUUCAGAUAUUUAUGAUGACCCAUUCUUGGGCCCAUUGCAAUAAUUGAGAUUUGAGUGCUUAGGUCUAAGCAGCUGAAUUUGAGUCAUUAAUUUUUCAGAUGUGUAUGAUUUUGAUUGUUCCGUCAGGUUUCUUUAUUAGUUAUUUUCCCCUAAUCACAAUUGUUUCACUUCCAGAAACUAAUGGCAUCAUUCGUUCAUUUUGCAAGAUUGGUGUAUACUAUGGUACUCCACAAGCGACAUUUGGAGGAAUUGCAUUAAAAUUCUUUGCCUCAGUUCGGCUUGAAAUAUGUUCUACAGGGAAGAUAAAGUCUGUAAAUGGAGAGGAAGUAAUUGGAGUUCGGGUUCAUGUAAGAGUGCAAAAGAGCAAGAUGUUAACUGUGUACGAGAGAGUCAAGAAGAGGCGGUGAGUAGAAGGAGGUUCUUUGCAGGCUAGACAAGGUUGAAAAUGGUUUUUUUUUUUCUCUCCCUAUUUUCCUUCAAAACUUUUUGUUCACUUAUUCUCCUUGAAUUUUAUGUUCAAAGUAGUUAAAUUUUCGUCCAAAAUGUUUUAUUUGUGUUUCUUGAUUUGAAUGAAAGUUUGGUAUUUCAUCCUU
Molecule: long non-coding RNA, 1990 nt
Organism: Prunus dulcis (almond)
Lineage: Eukaryota; Viridiplantae; Streptophyta; Magnoliopsida; Rosales; Rosaceae
Exons: 6
Source: RefSeq, a predicted model, not a curated record